AAAAAAAUAAGGUCUUGUAGUGGAGCUGCAAACUCCAUACCUUCCAACAAAGGUUCAGUCACAGAGCCAUGACAAAUAAAAUAGCAUGGACAAAAUGCUCUGAAACAAAAACAGGACCUGCAAAACUAUGAGGCUGGGAUAUGCAAAUAAAU
This is a long non-coding RNA of Hibiscus syriacus, 152 nucleotides long. RefSeq lists it as uncharacterized. Lineage: Eukaryota; Viridiplantae; Streptophyta; Magnoliopsida; Malvales; Malvaceae. The record is from RefSeq and is a predicted model, not a curated record. The transcript is spliced from 3 exons.